UACGUAGGGGGCCAGCGUUGUCCGGACUUACUGGGCGUAAAGGGCGCGUAGGCGGCCAUGCGUGUCUUCCGUGAAAUCCCUCGGCUUAACUGAGGACGUGCGGAAGAAACUGCAAGGCUCGAGUCCGGGAGAGGAGGGUGGAAUUCCCAGUGUAGCGGUGAAAUGCGUAGAUAUUGGGAGGAACACCGGUGGCGAAGGCGGCCCUCUGGACCGGUACUGACGCUGAUGCGCGAAAGCGUGGGUAGCAAACGGG
Molecule: ribosomal RNA, 253 nt
Filed under: uncultured bacterium
Lineage: Bacteria
Description: partial 16S ribosomal RNA
Rfam family: Bacterial small subunit ribosomal RNA
Source: RNAcentral